UACGGAGGGUGCAAGCGUUAUCCGGAUUCACUGGGUUUAAAGGGUGCGUAGGCGGGGAUAUAAGUCAGUGGUGAAAGCUCCGAGCUUAACUUGGCAACUGCCAUUGAUACUGUAUAUCUUGAAUGUCGUUGAGGUUAGCGGAAUGUUGCAUGUAGCGGUGAAAUGCUUAGAUAUGUGACAGAACACCAAUUGUAAAGACAGCUACCUAAGCGAUGAUUGACGCUGAGGCACGAAAGCGUGGGGAGCAAACAGG
Molecule: ribosomal RNA, 253 nt
Filed under: uncultured bacterium
Lineage: Bacteria
Description: partial 16S ribosomal RNA
Rfam family: Bacterial small subunit ribosomal RNA
Source: RNAcentral